Myodes glareolus (Bank vole) is the source of this 1035-nucleotide non-coding RNA. Lineage: Eukaryota; Metazoa; Chordata; Mammalia; Rodentia; Cricetidae. The record is from RefSeq and is a predicted model, not a curated record.
CACUGAUAAAAGGAAAAGUUCGGGGGGGAGGGGGGUUAGCAAGGGUUUAUUUCAACAUACAGUGUCAGUCCACAUUAAACAUAAGCCAGGAAGGGAGCUCAAGGUAGGAGGAGCCUGGCAGCAGAAACUGGAACAAGCCACGGAGGAAAGCUGUUUAAUGGCUUCCUUCCAGGCUCAGCGUUAGUUACCUUUCUUCUGUCUCCUAGGAUAACCUCGGCAGGACUAGGACUGGACCCUUCCACAGUAAUCUGCAAUCAAGAAAAUACCCUACAGUCUUGUCCACAGUUUCCGGGAAACGACUCGCACACCUUAGAUCCAGAACCAAUGCACUGCGGCCCUGAAGACUGGUUUGUACAGCGCAUUAUAACUGCCGGGAAAUACCAGAUAACAGAAUUAAUGCAGUUAUUGUGAGCUUCAUAGACGGAGCUCUAAAAAAAAAAAAAAAAAAAAAAAAAAGGCAAGUAUUUAAUGGAGCAUUUAGAAAAAAAAUGGAUAACUCUCCAGGGCCAAGCAUCGUUUCUACAGGGAUAUCCUGCCCAAACCACAAGUUAAGAAACCAAUGAGGACACUGCUGCUUAUUAGCUUAAAAGAGUGUUUUGAUUUUCAGAUCUUUCACCACUUAUUUACCCAGACAGAAAAAUUCAUCUAUACAACACUGAGAUUUGUUUGUUUGUAUGUUUGGUUGGUUGAAAAAAAAAAGUAACUAUAAUUGACCCUCAUGUUGAUCCCAUUAGACAAGAAUAAGACUACUACCACAAUUUUUGAGCCAAAUUUGAAACAAACUUGAUUUAUUUAUUGGGGUGCACUCAAGGACCAGUCAGCAACUAUCUCCAAAGUCAGGUUAAAGAGAGCUACUGAAGUUCAUUUCAUAGGGCACCCUUAAGAAGUAAAAUCUUGAGGAAUUGCAAAGCAGAUGUACAAAAUCGAGACAAGAGAGCAGUAAGGAAACAGAGGAGAAAAUUCUCAAACAAAACAAAACAUAACACAAAUCAGCCACCACCACAUGAUCACCAUGUGAUUUGGAGAAGGGGGACA